Molecule: transfer RNA, 64 nt
Filed under: Cavia porcellus (domestic guinea pig)
Lineage: Eukaryota; Metazoa; Chordata; Mammalia; Rodentia; Caviidae
Rfam family: tRNA
About the family: Transfer RNA (tRNA) molecules are approximately 80 nucleotides in length. Their secondary structure includes four short double-helical elements and three loops (D, anti-codon, and T loops).
Source: Rfam by way of RNAcentral
GGAGGUUUAGCUUAGCGGCAUAAGCGCCUGCCUUGAGAGCAGGCAAUCGCGAGUUCAAUCCCCG